CCUACGGGAGGCAGCAGUGGGGAAUAUUGCACAAUGGGGGGAACCCUGAUGCAGCGACGCCGCGUGGGUGAAGGAGUAUUUCGGUAUGUAAAGCCCUAUCAGCAGGGAAGAACAAUGACGGUACCUGACUACGAAGCACCGGCUAAAUACGUGCCAGCAGCCGCGGUAAUACGUAUGGUGCACGCGUUAUCCGGAUUUACUGGGUGUAAAGGGAGCGCAGGCGGCGCGUUAAGCCUGGUGUGAAAGUCCGCGGCCCAACCGCGGGACUGCAUUGGGAACUGGCGCGCUGGAGUGCCGGAGGGGUAGGCGGAAUUCCUAGUGUAGCGGUGAAAUGCGUAGAUAUUAGGAGGAACACCAGUGGCGAAGGCGGCCUACUGGACGGUGACUGACGCUGAGGCUCGAAAGCGUGGGGAGCAAACAGGAUUAGAUACCCCUGUAGUC
Molecule: ribosomal RNA, 441 nt
Filed under: uncultured bacterium
Lineage: Bacteria
Description: partial 16S ribosomal RNA
Rfam family: Bacterial small subunit ribosomal RNA
Source: RNAcentral